UAAUACGGAGGGUGCAAGCGUUGUCCGGAUUUAUUGGGUUUAAAGGGUGCGUAGGUGGCUUUAUAAGUCAGCGGUGAAAGACGGCAGCUCAACUGUCGCAGUGCCGUUGAUACUGUAGAGCUUGAGUACUGAUGAGGUAGGCGGAAUUGAUAGUGUAGCGGUGAAAUGCAUAGAUAUUAUCAAGAACACCGAUUGCGAAGGCAGCUUACUAAGGAGUUACUGACACUGAGGCACGAAAGCGUGGGGAUCAAACAGGAUUAGAUACCCUGGUAGUCCACGCCAUAAACGAUGAUCACUCGCUGUGUGCGAUAGAUAGUACGCGGCCAAGCGAAAGCGUUAAGUGAUCCACCUGGGGAGUACGACCGCAAGGUU
This 372-nucleotide ribosomal RNA is filed under the name uncultured bacterium. RNAcentral's name for it is "bacterial SSU rRNA". It matches the Rfam family "Bacterial small subunit ribosomal RNA", at positions 521 to 895 of the family's 1533-position model. The record is from RNAcentral.